Molecule: non-coding RNA, 21 nt
Filed under: Arabidopsis thaliana (thale cress)
Lineage: Eukaryota; Viridiplantae; Streptophyta; Magnoliopsida; Brassicales; Brassicaceae
Source: RNAcentral
UGAACGUUCGGCGUAUGAGUG